GGUUAAGCGACUAAGCGUACACGGUGGAUGCCCUGGCAGUCAGAGGCGAUGAAGGACGUGCUAAUCUGCGAAAAGCGCCGGCGAGGUGAUAUGAACCCUUGACCCGGCGAUGUCCGAAUGGGGAAACCCAGUGCAAUCCGUUGCACUAUCGUUAACUGAAUACAUAGGUUAACGAGGCGAACCGGGGGAACUGAAACAUCUAAGUACCCCGAGGAAAAGAAAUCAACCGAGAUUCCCCCAGUAGCGGCGAGCGAACGGGGAGCAGCCCGGAGUCUGAAUCAGCUUGUGUGUUAGUGGAACGGUCUGGAAAGUCCGACGGUACAGGGUGAUAGUCCCGUACACGAAAAUGCACAGGUUGUGAACUCGAAGAGUAGGGCGGGACACGUGGUAUCCUGUCUGAAUAUGGGGGGACCAUCCUCCAAGGCUAAAUACUCCUGACUGACCGAUAGUGAACCAGUACCGUGAGGGAAAGGCGAAAAGAACCCCGGCGAGGGGAGUGAAAAAGAACCUGAAACCGUGUACGUACAAGCAGUGGGAGCCUCUUUAUGGGGUGACUGCGUACCUUUUGUAUAAUGGGUCAGCGACUUAUAUUCUGUAGCAAGGUUAACCGUAUAGGGGAGCCGAAGGGAAACCGAGUCUUAACUGGGCGUUAAGUUGCAGGGUAUAGACCCGAAACCCGGUGAUCUAGCCAUGGGCAGGUUGAAGGUUGGGUAACACUAACUGGAGGACCGAACCGACUAAUGUUGAAAAAUUAGCGGAUGACCUGUGGCUGGGGGUGAAAGGCCAAUCAAACCGGGAGAUAGCUGGUUCUCCCCGAAAGCUAUUUAGGUAGCGCCUCGUGAAUUCAUCUUCGGGGGUAGAGCACUGUUUCGGCUAGGGGGCCAUCCCGGCUUACCAACCCGAUGCAAACUACGAAUACCGAAGAAUGUUAUCACGGGAGACACACGGCGGGUGCUAACGUCCGUCGUGAAGAGGGAAACAACCCAGACCGCCAGCUAAGGUCCCAAAGUCAUGGUUAAGUGGGAAACGAUGUGGGAAGGCACAGACAGCCAGGAUGUUGGCUUAGAAGCAGCCAUCAUUUAAAGAAAGCGUAAUAGCUCACUGGUCGAGUCGGCCUGCGCGGAAGAUGUAACGGGGCUAAACCAUGCACCGAAGCUGCGGCAGCGACACUAUGUGUUGUUGGGUAGGGGAGCGUUCUGUAAGCCGUUGAAGGUGUGCUGUGAGGCAUGCUGGAGGUAUCAGAAGUGCGAAUGCUGACAUAAGUAACGAUAAAGCGGGUGAAAAGCCCGCUCGCCGGAAGACCAAGGGUUCCUGUCCAACGUUAAUCGGGGCAGGGUGAGUCGACCCCUAAGGCGAGGCCGAAAGGCGUAGUCGAUGGGAAACAGGUUAAUAUUCCUGUACUUGGUGUUACUGCGAAGGGGGGACGGAGAAGGCUAUGUCAGCCGGGCGACGGUUGUCCCGGUUUAAGCAUGUAGGCGGAGGUUCCAGGUAAAUCCGGUACCUUUUAACGCUGAGGUGUGAUGACGAGGCACUACGGUGCUGAAGUGAUAAAUGCCCUGCUUCCAGGAAAAGCCUCUAAGCAUCAGGUAACACGAAAUCGUACCCCAAACCGACACAGGUGGUCAGGUAGAGAAUACCAAGGCGCUUGAGAGAACUCGGGUGAAGGAACUAGGCAAAAUGGUGCCGUAACUUCGGGAGAAGGCACGCUGAUGUGUAGGUGAAGCCCCUGCGGGCGGAGCUGAAAUCAGUCGAAGAUACCAGCUGGCUGCAACUGUUUAUUAAAAACACAGCACUGUGCAAACACGAAAGUGGACGUAUACGGUGUGACGCCUGCCCGGUGCCGGAAGGUUAAUUGAUGGGGUUAGCGGCAACGCGAAGCUCUUGAUCGAAGCCCCGGUAAACGGCGGCCGUAACUAUAACGGUCCUAAGGUAGCGAAAUUCCUUGUCGGGUAAGUUCCGACCUGCACGAAUGGCGUAAUGAUGGCCAGGCUGUCUCCACCCGAGACUCAGUGAAAUUGAACUCGCUGUGAAGAUGCAGUGUACCCGCGGCAAGACGGAAAGACCCCGUGAACCUUUACUAUAGCUUGACACUGAACACUGGUCCUUGAUGUGUAGGAUAGGUGGGAGGCUUUGAAGCGUGGACGCCAGUCUGCGUGGAGCCAACCUUGAAAUACCACCCUUUAAUGGCUGGUGUUCUAACGUGGACCCGUAAUCCGGGUUGCGGACAGUGUCUGGUGGGUAGUUUGACUGGGGCGGUCUCCUCCCAAAGAGUAACGGAGGAGCACGAAGGUUGGCUAAUCCUGGUCGGACAUCAGGAGGUUAGUGCAAUGGCAUAAGCCAGCUUGACUGCGAGCGUGACGGCGCGAGCAGGUGCGAAAGCAGGUCAUAGUGAUCCGGUGGUUCUGAAUGGAAGGGCCAUCGCUCAACGGAUAAAAGGUACUCCGGGGAUAACAGGCUGAUACCGCCCAAGAGUUCAUAUCGACGGCGGUGUUUGGCACCUCGAUGUCGGCUCAUCACAUCCUGGGGCUGAAGUAGGUCCCAAGGGUAUGGCUGUUCGCCAUUUAAAGUGGUACGCGAGCUGGGUUUAGAACGUCGUGAGACAGUUCGGUCCCUAUCUGCCGUGGGCGCUGGAGAAUUGAGGGGGGCUGCUCCUAGUACGAGAGGACCGGAGUGGACGCAUCACUGGUGUUCGGGUUGUCAUGCCAAUGGCACUGCCCGGUAGCUAAAUGCGGAAGAGAUAAGUGCUGAAAGCAUCUAAGCACGAAACUUGCCCCGAGAUGAGUUCUCCCUGAGACCUUGAGUCUCCUGAAGGAACGUUAAAGACGAUGACGUUGAUAGGUCGGGUGUGUAAGCGCAGCGAUGCGUUGAGCUAACCGAUACUAAUGAACCGUGAGGCUUAACCUU
RNAcentral lists this ribosomal RNA (2904 nucleotides) under Enterobacter hormaechei. RNAcentral describes it as "23S ribosomal RNA". It matches the Rfam family "Bacterial large subunit ribosomal RNA". Lineage: Bacteria; Pseudomonadati; Pseudomonadota; Gammaproteobacteria; Enterobacterales; Enterobacteriaceae. The record is from RNAcentral.